This is a microRNA precursor of Oryza sativa Indica Group (long-grained rice), 198 nucleotides long. It matches the Rfam family "MIR812 microRNA precursor family". The record is from Rfam. Lineage: Eukaryota; Viridiplantae; Streptophyta; Magnoliopsida; Poales; Poaceae.
UUUAGAUGCAGUUAUGGUUUUAAUGUCUAAUGUUUAACCGUCCGUUUUAUUUUUAAAAAAUAUGACUCAUAUUUUUAUUGUUAUUAGAUAAUAAAACAUAAAUAGUACUUUAUAUGUGACUUAUUUUUAAUUUUAUAAGUUUUUCAAAUAAGAUGAAUGGUCAAACGUUACGCAUGAAAAUACAUGACUGCACUUAAA